AUUGAACGCUGGCGGCAUGCCUUACACAUGCAAGUCGAACGGUAACGGGCCUUCGGGUGCCGACGAGUGGCGAACGGGUGAGUAAUACAUCGGAACGUGCCCGAUCGUGGGGGAUAACGAGGCGAAAGCUUUGCUAAUACCGCAUACGAUCUACGGAUGACAGCAGGGGACCGCAAGGCCUUGCGCGGACGGAGCGGCCGAUGGCAGAUUAGGUAGUUGGUGGGAUAAAAGCUUACCAAGCCGACGAUCUGUAGCUGGUCUGAGAGGAUGAUCAGCCACACUAGGACUGAGACACGGCCCAGACUCCUACGGGAGGCAGCAGUGGGGAAUUUUGGACAAUGGGCGCAAGCCUGAUCCAGCCAUGCCGCGUGCAGGAUGAAGGCCUUCGGGUUGUAAACUGCUUUUGUACGGAACGAAAAGCCUUCUUUUAAUACAGGAGGGUCAUGACGGUACCGUAAGAAUAAGCACCGGCUAACUACGUG
Molecule: ribosomal RNA, 482 nt
Filed under: uncultured bacterium
Lineage: Bacteria
Description: partial 16S ribosomal RNA
Rfam family: Bacterial small subunit ribosomal RNA
Source: RNAcentral